GACGAACGCUGGCGGCGUGCUUAACACAUGCAAGUCGAACGGAAAGGCCUGCUUUCCCUUGUGGAUUGCGGGUACUCGAGUGGCGAACGGGUGAGUAACACGUGAGUGAUCUGCCCCCAACUUGGGUAUAAGCCUGGGAAACUGGGUCUAAUUCCCGAUAGGACUGCAGGGUGGUGCCUGUGGUGGAAAACGAUUUUCUAGUGGUUGGGGAUGAGCUCGCGACCUAUCAGCUUGUUGGUGGGGUAAUGGCCUACCAAGGCGGCGACGGGUAGCCGGCCUGGGAGGGUGGACGGCCACAUUGGGACUGAGAUACGGCCCAGACUCCUACGGGAGGCAGCAGUGGGGAAUAUUGCACAAUGGGCGGAAGCCUGAUGCAGCGACGCCGCGUGGGGGAUGACGGCCUUCGGGUUGUAAACUCCUUUCGACCGCGAGGAAGCCACCUGGUUGGAAGGGUGGUGACGGUAGUGGUAGAAGAAGCACCGGCUAACUACGUG
Molecule: ribosomal RNA, 494 nt
Filed under: uncultured bacterium
Lineage: Bacteria
Description: partial 16S ribosomal RNA
Rfam family: Bacterial small subunit ribosomal RNA
Source: RNAcentral